UUUCCAGGCUCCCAAUGUGAUUUGAGGGUCCAGCAAGGUGCCCCUACUGUCUACCUUGGAAGGACAGUAGGGACUCUAGGACACAAAUGUAGAGGUUGAACAGUGACCAUUUCUCUCAGCUUCUCCAGAUACCCUGAUUCAGAAGCUCUGUCCUUAUGGUCCAUGGACAGUGGCACUUCCUAAACCAGGUAGCAAGUGUGAAUCAACAGGUAUGGCCCUCAAAGACCCCGUAAGCUGGCUCUUGCCUGCAUGUAGCCAUGGGCCUUGGGGAUAUGGAGCCUGGGCUGUGGCUCUUGUGUGCUUCUAGAAGCUCAGGCCUAACGUGUCUUCUUCAGUGGCUUCUGAUGUCCUGGGCAGCUCACAGCUGAGUAGAGGGGUCUAAGAGAAUAGGCUGGACGCAGUGGCUGAUCUCUUCCUUAAUGCUCCAACUCUAGCUUCUGUCCUUCCUCAAGGAUGGACAGAAUGGCCCCAAUCAAGUCCAUCUGAUAGUUUGUCCACCACAGGGUCCUUCCCUUCAAAGACUGGGAGCUCCUGGAGAAAUGGCCCUGGAGAAUCCUCACCCAUCCUUCCCCUCCCUCUGCACAGAUGCUGUGCUAUCAUGGAGUCCAUGCCUCUGCCCCCAAUACUGUAUGUAUAUUUGCAUAUUGCCUUAUUUCAAAUGCAUCCAGGGAGUCAGUUAUUUAAAGAAAUACUAUAGAAGAUCCUUUGGUAAAGACUGGAAUCACUUUGAUUUAUUUUUUGUGUAAGUUUGGAUUUUCGUCUCUCUAGAGAUGGGGUGAGGGAGAGGCUGCAGGCAGGUUUACAUCUUUCUACAGCCUUCAGUACUGGCCCCUGCGUACUCCUGUGUGGCUCAGUAUGUCUAAAUCAGAUUUGCUUUAUUUGACAAGCAUGGUUCCAAGGCCAUCUGUGUGUCAGUCUCAGUAUGCUGGAGGUGAAAAAAGAGAGACAAGACCCAGUCCUUGCCUCUCAGAGUCACUGAGGGAGACAGAUAUGUGCCAGGUGCAUCAACCCAGGAGUGUUCAAGGGGAAUUGUGGUUGCACUGAGGGAGGUGGGACUGACUUUGCCCCAGACUCCAGAAGACAUGGAAGGCUUCAUGGAGGAAGUGAUUUUAAUGCAGCUUUGUGGUUGGUAGAGUUCAAACAUGGCAAACAAGCAGGGAAUGGCAGGUGGGUGUGGUUUAAGUGGAGGAUGCAAAGUGGGGACAUGAUAAGACUAGGGAGAUAAAGAGAUUAGGGUAACAAGCAGGGCCAGGCCGAGAUCUGUGUGUAGACCUAGGAGGCUGGUUUCAAUUCCAAAAACAAAGGGGUUAGAAUUGGGUUGUGUUUCAGGAGUGACGCACGCUUACUUUUAUUUUAGGA
RNAcentral lists this long non-coding RNA (1359 nucleotides) under Marmota monax (woodchuck). The record is from RNAcentral. Lineage: Eukaryota; Metazoa; Chordata; Mammalia; Rodentia; Sciuridae.